UCCCUUUGCUAUGCACAUACUCUCACACACACACGUACACACCUGCACAGGGGCUGGGCAGAGGAGCAAAGUUACUGCGUACCCUCCUUAUAUUAAAUAUGGAGCUGACCCCUUCCUCUGCCAGCCUACCUGAUACGCCGCAGCCACAAGUACUUCCCUGUGUCUGAAAAUGCCUCUUGAACCGGGACGGCUCCCAGCAGGCCCAGGACAGGACUCGGAUGCACCGGCACACCCAGGCGAGCAGCAGUCCUGCAUGGAUGUGAGCGAGCAGAGCUGCUCCAGGGAGCUGGGCAGUGGGCUGAGCCAGAAGUGAAGGUGCGCUACAGAGGGCUGUUGGUUCGGCACGCAGCCGUGCUCCAGCCAGAAUGGCACGUCCUGCGCUGGGACACAGUUUGGUGCUGGGGUCCCUCAGCCCUGUAUCAGCUGCCGCUUGUGACCGUCAUCCACAACCACCACAAAGGGGGAAAAGCAGGGGUCUGCGAUUUCUUUUCAUCACAGCUGCCCCAUGAAGCGUU
Molecule: non-coding RNA, 515 nt
Organism: Phalacrocorax carbo (great cormorant)
Lineage: Eukaryota; Metazoa; Chordata; Aves; Suliformes; Phalacrocoracidae
Source: RefSeq, a predicted model, not a curated record